CAAAUCACAAACACCUGACACUAUGACCCACUGAGAAACCAGGAAGUAGUUCCUAAACGUCCCUCCACACAAUCAUUUGUUUUUUGACCACUUUUUACCUGCUUAACUGGGAAAUCGCUCAGUUUACUUUACUUUGAGGAGGACUGGGAGGGAAACAGUCACAUCAUUAUCUUAAGGAUCAUUUUGGAGCCAAUUUUUUGAUUCUUCUGUGAUCCACCUGUUGGACGAAUGGAACAAAGAAUCAAAGAGAUGUUCACAGACAGGGCUGAAGAUUGUCUAGUGGGGACGGACCAAGUAGAAGAACCCCAGCAUGACUUUGAGAUGGGACAAAGACAGUCUAAAACACACAAGGAACUUGCCACGCCCGUCUGUUCCAAUCUUGUCUCGGCAUGGACGCUGUUACUGUGACUUCCAGGUCUUUCGUAGCAGGCGUAGCAGCCUUUUUUGCUGCUUUCUCGGAUGAGAAAGGCUCCGUCCGGCUUCCCGAGGAGCAGCUCCUCCGCCUGCGUCCUGUUCAGGUCCCCGACGAACCAGCUCUUCUCAUCGUAGUGAG
This is a long non-coding RNA of Siniperca chuatsi (mandarin fish), 553 nucleotides long. RefSeq lists it as uncharacterized. The transcript has 4 exons. The record is from RefSeq and is a predicted model, not a curated record. Lineage: Eukaryota; Metazoa; Chordata; Actinopteri; Centrarchiformes; Sinipercidae.